CCGAGCGCCUUGUAUCCUGAUUAGCUGGCAAGUCUUUUCUUUCUCCCAUGGCACAGAAGACCCCAGAAGGGUUUUAAGUCAGGAGGUGACGUGACUGGAGGUGCAACACCAGCUGGCCACGGGAUGGAGGAAGGGUCCCUGGCCUUACACAGCGCUCACCCCAGGCCCUGCUGGCCCAGCACACAGCAGGUGAGGCUUGGGAAAACUCUUCCAGCCUUCUCUGAUCGGCCCACUUCCGCCCCUCUGGAGCCUGGGAGCCCUGCCCUCUGGAAUAACCCAGCUCCACGUCUCCUAGAGCCGGACCUUGCCUAGUCAGAGCACUGCGGUGGCAACAACCCACUGAGGCACUGAAUUAAACAAAAAAGGGUUGAGGUUAUGAAAGGAGAGGUUCCAGCUAGAGUUCAAGAAAGUCUUCCAGACCUGCCUGCAGAGAAUUAAACCCAGACACUGUGAAGUGCCCGUCCCAUCCUUCAAGAACCAGCUCAGAUGCCUCCACUCUGGGAAGCCUUUCCUGCGCCCCCAAGGCUGUUGCUCACUGGAGAGCCCUGAGAGCAGGCAUUAUACUGCAUCCCAUUUGUAUAUUUUGUAUCCCUUUCUAUCUCAUAAAUGGGGCAGGAAUUCAAUCAA
Equus quagga is the source of this 627-nucleotide long non-coding RNA. RefSeq lists it as uncharacterized. The transcript has 5 exons. The record is from RefSeq and is a predicted model, not a curated record. Lineage: Eukaryota; Metazoa; Chordata; Mammalia; Perissodactyla; Equidae.